UACGUAGGGCGCAAGCGUUAUCCGGAAUUAUUGGGCGUAAAGAGCUCGUAGGCGGUUUGUCGCGUCUGCCGUGAAAGUCCGGGGCUCAACUCCGGAUCUGCGGUGGGUACGGGCAGACUAGAGUGAUGUAGGGGAGACUGGAAUUCCUGGUGUAGCGGUGAAAUGCGCAGAUAUCAGGAGGAACACCGGUGGCGAAGGCGGUUCUCUGGGCCUGUACUGACGCUGAGAAACGAAAGCGUGGGGAGCGAACAGG
Molecule: ribosomal RNA, 253 nt
Filed under: uncultured bacterium
Lineage: Bacteria
Description: partial 16S ribosomal RNA
Rfam family: Bacterial small subunit ribosomal RNA
Source: RNAcentral